AUGGGCAACGCCAGCGGCAGGGAGGAGGACGCCGCCGCGCCCGGGGAGGCCGACGCCGCCGACGUCGACGUCGAGGACGGAGGCGACGACUCCUCGGCCCGCGGCUUCCCUCCCUACGGCGGAGGCGCCAACCACGUGCGCCGUGCGUGCUCAGUGGGCGUCGUGGGGGCCAGCGGCGGGCCCGGAUCGCCGCCCGUGAGCCCCGGCCGCUCCCUCUCGCCGCGGAUGUUCGUGCCCCAGACACCUGUACCUCCAUUGCAAAGACCUGCUGAUGUAACUCCAGUAUUCAAUGAAAUACUGAUGAAUGAACAAGAAGAAGAAUUUGAUGGCCCCCCUCAAAAGGAAAUACCUGCUUUGAUUGUGUGGACUCUUGGAGGAAAGAAUGUAUCUGUUGAAGGAUCUUGGGAUAACUGGAAAUCAAGGAAACCGAUGCAGAAAUCUGGAAAAGAUCAUUCUCUUCUGUUGAUCCUUCCUUCUGGAGUUUAUCGUUAUAGAUUUGUUGUAGAUGGAGAGAGGAGAUGUUUUCCUGACCUUCCAUGUGAAACUGACGCCAUGGGCAAUGCUGUUAACCUUCUUGAUGUUCAUGAUUUUGUUCCUGAAAGUGUUGAAAGUGUAUCAGAAUUUGAGGCUCCUCCAUCCCCAGAAUCUAGCUACAGUUUCCAGGCACCUGAGGAAAAGGACUUUGCGAAUGAGCCACCUGCUCUUCCGUCUCAGCUUCACCUCGGCGUUCUUAACUCACAGAACUCAGAGGAAAUAUGUGCACGGCCCCAACACAUCGUCCUCAACCACCUUUUCAUCGAGAAGGGUUGGGGUGCCCAUCCGCUGGUGGCUCUUGGUGUAACCCACAGAUUCGAGUCCAAAUAUGUAACGGUCGUCUUGUAUAAGCCCAUAGAACGAUAG
RNAcentral lists this ribosomal RNA (900 nucleotides) under Triticum aestivum (bread wheat). RNAcentral's name for it is "partial small subunit ribosomal RNA". The record is from RNAcentral. Lineage: Eukaryota; Viridiplantae; Streptophyta; Magnoliopsida; Poales; Poaceae.